UACGGGGGGGCAAGCGUUGUUCGGAAUUACUGGGCGUAAAGGGCUCGUAGGUGGCCAACUAAGUCAGACGUGAAAUCCCUCAGCUUAACUGGGGAACUGCGUCUGAUACUGGAUGGCUUGAGUUUGGGAGAGGGACGCGGAAUUCCAGGUGUAGCGGUGAAAUGCGUAGAUAUUGGAAAGAACACCGAUGGCGAAGGCACUCUACUGGGCUAUUACUGACACUCAGAGACGAAAGCUAGGGGAGCAAAUGGG
This 252-nucleotide ribosomal RNA is filed under the name uncultured bacterium. RNAcentral describes it as "partial 16S ribosomal RNA". It matches the Rfam family "Bacterial small subunit ribosomal RNA", at positions 524 to 776 of the family's 1533-position model. The record is from RNAcentral.